UGGGGAAUUUUGGACAAUGGGCGAAAGCCUGAUCCAGCAAUGCCGCGUGUGUGAAGAAGGCCUUCGGGUUGUAAAGCACUUUUGUCCGGAAAGAAAUCCUUGGCUCUAAUACAGUCGGGGGAUGACGGUACCGGAAGAAUAAGCACCGGCUAACUACGUGCCAGCAGCCGCGGUAAUACGUAGGGUGCAAGCGUUAAUCGGAAUUACUGGGCGUAAAGCGUGCGCAGGCGGUUUGCUAAGACCGAUGUGAAAUCCCCGGGCUCAACCUGGGAACUGCAUUGGUGACUGGCAGGCUAGAGUAUGGCAGAGGGGGGUAGAAUUCCACGUGUAGCAGUGAAAUGCGUAGAGAUGUGGAGGAAUACCGAUGGCGAAGGCAGCCCCCUGGGCCAAUACUGACGCUCAUGCACGAAAGCGUGGGGAGCAAACAGGAUUAGAUACCCUGGUAGUCCACGCCCUAAACGAUGUCAACUAGUUGUUGGGGAUUCAUUUCCUUAGUAACGUAGCUAACGCGUGAAGUUGACCGCCUGGGGGAGUACGGUCGCAAGAUUAAAACUUAAAUGAAUUAACGGGGUCAUAGCUGUUUCC
This 585-nucleotide ribosomal RNA is filed under the name uncultured bacterium. RNAcentral's name for it is "partial 16S ribosomal RNA". It matches the Rfam family "Bacterial small subunit ribosomal RNA", at positions 355 to 937 of the family's 1533-position model. The record is from RNAcentral.